Long non-coding RNA from Diceros bicornis minor, 658 nucleotides. RefSeq lists it as uncharacterized. The record is from RefSeq and is a predicted model, not a curated record. Lineage: Eukaryota; Metazoa; Chordata; Mammalia; Perissodactyla; Rhinocerotidae. The transcript has 3 exons.
UGCCUGUUGCUGCUUCUCUGGGGGAGCAGCCGGGGCAGCACCUGGUCCUGCAACUCCUCUAGCUCCCGUCAGAUCGUCUCCUUCACGUUCUCUGGGUCCUGGACCAGGCCGAUGUGCAGCUCCGCGUUGCAGGAGGCCAGCUUCUCCGUCAAGUCACCCACCAUCUUGAUCUCUUUUUGGCUGCUCUGAAUGCUGGGCCAGGCAAAGUUGGACAUUCCAAAGAUGGCGUAGAUGAACAUGACCAGGAAGAGCAGGAGGCCGAUGUUAAACAACGCAGGAAGGGACAUCAUCAGAGCAAAGAGCAGCGUGCGGAUCCCCUUAGCCCCUUUGAUCAGACGUAGGAUUCGGCCAAUCCUGGCAAGACGGAUCACUCGGAACAGGAUCGUCCCUCAGCUAACAUCUGUGCCCAUCUUCCUCUAUUUUUUAUGUGGGAUGCCACCACAGCGUGGCUUGAUGAACGGUGCAUGGGUCCGUGCAUGAGAUCCGAACCUCCAAACCCUGGACGAAGCAGAGCACGUGAACUUAACCACUACGCCACCGGGCCGGCCCAAAACAUUCUUCUCUUACUGUGCCUAAUACUGUCUGGUUGAGUAUGCUUUAGUCAAUAUGUUUUGGAUAAAUAAAUAAGGGGAAAAUUUUACCUGGAAAAAUAUUUUAU